GAUGAACGCUAGCUACAGGCUUAACACAUGCAAGUCGAGGGGCAUCAGGAAGAAAGCUUGCUUUCUUUGCUGGCGACCGGCGCACGGGUGAGUAACACGUAUCCAACCUGCCCUUUACUCGGGGAUAGCCUUUCGAAAGAAAGAUUAAUACCCGAUGGGAUAAUGAUUCCGCAUGGAUUGAUGAUUAAAGGAUUCCGGUAAAGGAUGGGGCUGCGUUCCAUUAGGUUGUUGGUGAGGUAACGGCUCACCAAGCCUUCGAUGGGUAGGGGUUCUAAGAGGAAGGUCCCCAACAUUGGAACUGAGGCACGGUCCGAACGCCUACGGGAGGCGGCAGUGAGGAAUAUUGGUCAAUGGGCGCGAGCCUGAACCAGCCAAGUAGCGUGAAGGAUGACUGCCCUAUGGGUUGUAAACUUCUUUUAUAUUAGAAUAAAGUGCAGUAUGUAUACUGUUUUGUAUGUAUAAUAUGAAUAAGGACCGGCUAACUCCGUGCCAGCAGCCGCCGUAA
RNAcentral lists this ribosomal RNA (505 nucleotides) under uncultured bacterium. RNAcentral's name for it is "partial 16S ribosomal RNA". It matches the Rfam family "Bacterial small subunit ribosomal RNA", at positions 28 to 523 of the family's 1533-position model. The record is from RNAcentral.